GGGGCAUUGCUGGCACAUGGCAUAUAGCACAUUGGUAGAUAUGCAGGUGAACAAGCCCUUGAUGGUGUGGCUGAUGUGGUUAGAUCCUAUGAUGGAGUCCCUUGAAUAGAUAUGUGGAUAGAGUUGGCACCGGGCUUUCUUGCAAGGUUUGGUUCCUGGGUUAGUGUUUUUGUUGUGUGGUGU
This is a long non-coding RNA of Chelonia mydas (Green sea turtle), 183 nucleotides long. RefSeq lists it as uncharacterized. NCBI's taxonomy places the organism in Eukaryota, Metazoa, Chordata, Testudines, Cheloniidae. The transcript is spliced from 3 exons. The record is from RefSeq and is a predicted model, not a curated record.